RNAcentral lists this long non-coding RNA (4870 nucleotides) under Homo sapiens (human). Its description in RNAcentral is "HSALNT0028384". The record is from RNAcentral. Lineage: Eukaryota; Metazoa; Chordata; Mammalia; Primates; Hominidae.
AUUAACCACACCCUGCAGGCUGAGGCGGGCAGGCUGAGGCGGGCAGGCUGGGGGCUGAGGAGACGCUCCUUCCCUGCAUUCCAUGGACAUGGUGCCUUGGGCCAGGCUGCAGAGGCCGCAGGGCCUGGCAUGUGCCCCGUGAAACUGGCCCUGCAGUGAGGCGGGGGCAGUGGGGAUGGAUGAACUCAUUCUUUCCUCGUCUGAGGCUGCUCUGAUCGUAAAACCGUGGACGCUGAGCAAAUGGCCCCAGAUGGGGAAACUGAGACCCAAAAUGAAGGGCGCAGUCGCCGAGUCAGCCAGUGACAGAGCUGGGGCUUCACUCCCGCUUCUCGAUUCUCAGCUCCCAUCCUCGUCCCUCUGCCUUUUAUGGAGCAGCAUGGAAGGAAUCAAAAACAGGCAGAGAACUUCAGGGGCCACUCUGGGCUGCUGUGAGUGAAGACUAGAGUUUGUGGGUGCAGUGCCUCCGGCUGCAGCUCUCCAGGCCCACACAGACCUGCUCCUGACACUCCUGGGGGUGCGCUGCCUGGGGGUCUUCCCUCCCCAGCCCUUCCCCAAGGUACAGUGAGUGCCUCAGGUCCUCCAGCUGCCCCUCUCCCAGUGGGAACUCACACUAGACAUGCGAGGGCAGUCAAGGAGAGCGCUUUCCUCGCUCGAGGAUAUGGGAGAGCUUUCCACCCUCCUCCUCAGGCCCCGGAGGCAGCGAGUGUGCCUGUCAGGGUUAUCAGGGUGCUCUGGGAAGGGCUCCACCUCCCCCGCAGGCUUCGCCAGAAUGCCCAACUGGGCUGCUCUCACUGCCUUUGACCUUCAGAACUCCCAAAAUACUCCCACCUCCUCCAGGAAGAAGGCGGGGUAGUGGGGGCUUUGGAGACCAAUAAGCCAGGGCCUGACUCCUAACUGGCCACCUAAUAGCUUUGUGACCUUGAGCAAGUGCCCUGGUCUUCCUGAGGGCGUGUUCUCAAGCUUCUCCGUUGUGUGGUUUUAGUGAGGGCUGGAGAUGGCGACACGUAGUAGACUCUCAAUUCAUGGUGGCUCUUAUUAUUAAAGCUGGCCAGGAUGUCCCUUCUGACCCCCAACCCUCCAGUUCCCAUAGUGCUGGGCCUUGUAACUGUCACUGUCCUGUGUAUGGGGUCAGGCUCUGGCCUCCCUCCCUCGCAACCCCUUCGGGGCAGGGUGAGAGUAAACAGGUCCCCUAGGUGUGGGACAGACGCCCGCUGCCCUCCUCCUGCCUUAUUCAUUCUCUCCAAAAACAUUAAUCACUGGUGGAUGGACAAACUGUAGGGCACCCGUAUGAUGGAAUGACCCCAGCAAUAAGGAAGAACAAAAUAGUAAUACAAUGAAUGACAUGGAUGACUCUCAAGGCACUGCGCUGAAGUUCAGCAGUUAAAUGAAAGCCGCCUAACUCAAAAGGCUGCAGACUCCGCCGCUCCCUGCGUCUGAACUCCAGGGAGGGCCACGCUGCAGCCAGAAAGCAGAUGUUCCUUGGCCCCAAGCAAAUUAUCUCCCUGCUCUUCCAUGUAGGGACUAGAGGGUCCUGCACUCCUCAGGCCACCCAGGAACCAGUUCCCCCUUGCCCCACUAGCCUAACAUGUGAAUAGCCAAGAGGGACCACUCAAAGGACAGUUUCCUGAACAAAGAAGACCUGUUCUUAACCAGCUGGAUAAAGAAGGAGCUGAUGGCAACUUUUAUUAAAAAGAAAGAAAAGUUCCGAACCAGGAAACUUGCCAUACACCCAUUCGCCAGAUGACAACAUUGAGAUUACUCACUUCUUGAAAGAGCCCAGCCUCUAGCACUGGACAUUUAUCACAAAGCAUUUCCUUCUUGCGUUGGGCAUUCCUCUCUUGCUAGGAGGAACUGAGACUUCCCGUCCCCAGUCCCAGCCCUGAGGCCAUGCAGCCUAGGGGUGGCUGGAUUGAGCACUGCUUACUGGAUUCAGGCCAGAGACUGCCACAUUUUGUCCUCUGCUGCCUGGGUUAGGGAGACCUCUCCCUGUCAACUCAGGGGCAUGGCAGGAGCGGGGCUGGAACAGUCUCUGCAGUCAGUUCCCUCCUGGACCACCGACGCUGGGAAUGCAAGGGGUGGGUAGUUUGGUCUGUGCUUAUGUGUUGAUAUUGUGAGAUCAUUUGAGAGAAUUAAAUAUAUUUUCCCAGAUGGAAAGAAAAGGAAAAGGAAGGGGAUGUUGAGUGUGGGAGCUGUUCAUUCUUUCCAGCUUCUCUCCUUUCCCGCCAUCCCACCCCACCUGUGGACCUGUGUUUGGCAUUAGGGCACUCCUCUGUGCUUUGCUGGAUUCUGAUAGGGAGCACAGCCUGGUGUGGGGGGUGGGAGGACGGAUGGUCUGCAUCUUCCCUUCCCCUGCUCCAGUCCUUAGGCCAGUGCUUUCUGCACUGGGGGGUCAGGGGACAUUGAAGGUGCCAGUCCAAAUGCCAGUCAACACUGUGGGCAGGCCUGGCCAACACUGUCUGUGGAUGCCAGACUCUGGGAAGAGAAGCACCCACGCUCAGAGAUGGCCCACUCUCACUGGGCUCACAGCCAAACACACCCAGUUUUCUGGCCUCGGGCUGGGUGGGACAAGUGUAUAUCUCACCUGACAAGCCCUGUGAGCCUGACAAAUGGAGGGAAAAAGCCACGACAGCAGCACCUCCCAGUGAUCCGGAAGCUGGAGGAGGAGCAAGAGGACACAGGGUCUCUCCAAAAGGCAGAAGUGCGGGGGAGUGGCCUGGACAUUGUAGAGCUGGGACAGCCAAGUCCCAGGGCAAGGGCACCAGGGGACAUGGAGGAGUCCUUCCCUUGGGCCUCUCCAGAGAGGCUGCCUGGAGUUUUCACAGUUCACAAAUGAGCAGAGGAAAUUGUCCAUGCGAACAGCCCUUAGGGGAUCUCCCAGAGAGGUGUCUCGGGUGCUAGGGGAAGCCCAAACACCCCACUUCAGUUUUCACGUAGGAGGAGGAGAAGGCAAUGACUUGUCUUGAAGCAGCCGCUGCCCAGCAAGCACACGAUUUUUAUUUAAAUUGAAGGUUUAUUUGGAGUGGGCUUGGGGGAGUACUUCUCAUGCACACACUUUUUCUGUCUCCUCAUUUCCCCAGCCCAAUCCUCCCCACAUUCCUCUGCCUUCCCGCCUCCCAUUUUAUUAGGUGUCAGUUGUCUGCUCCAAACCUUCAGUAGCUCCCAUUUGUGAUAAGGUGAAGUCCAAAUCCCAUAGCCUGCAUUCAAGUUCUUCCACGGUUAGGGUGGACAUACACCCCACUUUGUUUUGGAUGAUCUAGUUUAUAUCUGCUGUCUUGGCAUAAUAAUUCAUAGCACCCUGCUUCAUGCAAAAAUGUAUCCCAGUUUGGAGAAUAAAUGAUGUGGUCCACCCGUGUACAGUCCACUCCCAACCUCAUGCUCCAGGCUAAUGGCCAACUGUCUCUCUUGAAUCCUCUGAGUCAGUGGUUUUGAACUCUGGUUGCUCAUUAGAAUCACCUGGGGAGCUUUUAAUAAAUAUCACUACUUAGACUCACCCCCAAAACAGGUCAAAUAAAACAGAAUCUCUAGGGGCAGGACCCAGCCUUUGGUAUUUUUUUAAGCAUCCAGAUGACUCUGAUGUGCAGCCAGGGUGGAGAACAACUGACCUCAGUAAAACAGGUGUCCUGGAACUCUGUCCCUGAGCCCAUCUUACACAUUUCUGUCCCUAGUUUUUGGUAACUUGCUCCCAUUGUCUAUCCGCCAUUUAACUCUUUCUUUUCCUCUGUGUGUGGUCUUUCAUUCAUUCUUUAAGUCCUACCCAAGCUGCUAAGCCUAGCUCCAAUGCUGCCUCCUCCUACAUCUUUCCUGACCUCUUAGCCAGAAAGGGUCUUCCUCUCUACCCACUACUGCCCCCUCCCUCCCCCACUAUUGAAUGUCAUCUAUGAUCCACGCCCUGUUUUGCCUUCUUCACAGUCUAUGAGCUCCAUGGCAUGGGUCAUGUCUGAUUAAUCUCUGGAGACCCCAGGGCCCAGACCCAACUUACAGUAAAGCCUCUCACACCUGAGUGAGUGACUAUCACUGCUGGUCCUGAACUUGGGCAGCGUCAUCCACCCCGACACGGGGCACCAGCACAUGCUGCCUCUACAAGUUAAGUUUCUUUUCCUGUGUGCGGGCUUUCAUUCAUUCAUUCACUCACUCAUUCUGCUUUGUGCCAGGCGCUGUGUUCUCCAUCACCUCUUCUUGAUUUCCUGUACUAUUGGAGAACUGUCCUUUCUCUCUCAUGUCCAUCCCCUGGACAGCCCUGCAGACUGUCUUGCAUAUAAACGGUACUCAGUAUUGAUUGAUAAUCAACUGACGAAUAGAUAAACAAAAGUGGUGUGUCCUUACAAUGAAAUAUUAUUCAGCCAUGAAAAGGAAAUGAAGUACUGAUACAUGCUACAAUAUGAAUAACCCUAAAAACAUUAUUCUAAGUGAAAGAAGCCAGGAACAAAAGACCACAUAAACUGUAUGCUAUCAUUUACAUGCAAAGUACAGAAUAGACAAAUCCAUAGAGACAAAAAGUAGAUUAGUGGUUGCCAAGGGCUAGAAGAAGGGGGAAAUUAAGAUUAACUUUUGUUUUGUUUUGAGACAGAGUCUUGCUCUGUCGCCCAGGCUGGAGUGCAGUGGCCUGAUCUUGGAUCACUGCAACCUCCGCCUCCCAGGUUCAAGCAAUUCUCCUGCCUCAGCCCCCUGAGUAGCUGGGAUUACAGGUGUGUGCCACCAUGCCUGGCUAAUUUUUUUUUUUUUUUUGUAUUUUUAGUAAAGACAGGGUUUCGCCAUGUUGGUCAGGCUGGUCUCAAACUCCUGACCUCAAGUGAUCCGCCCACCUCAGCCUCCCAAAUUGUUGGGAUUAUAGGCGUGAGCCACAGCUCCUGGCCAGGACUAGCUGUUAAUA